Long non-coding RNA from Coturnix japonica (Japanese quail), 523 nucleotides. RefSeq lists it as uncharacterized. The record is from RefSeq and is a predicted model, not a curated record. NCBI's taxonomy places the organism in Eukaryota, Metazoa, Chordata, Aves, Galliformes, Phasianidae.
AGGAAAGGUGGAUAUGGAGCAAGGAGGUUCAGGAGGAUGUGUAUGUGAGCACUGAGUCAGCUGGCUACCGCACAGAGAAGCUGUUCCUUGCCUGACCUUUGCCACUGAGUUCUUCUGAAAUGGCAUCAGUGACAGGCUUCUCUACCUAAAUGCUCUAAAUCCCUGAGAGAGAGAGAUAUCUUUGUGGAUCCCAAACUGUAUUAUCAAAAAUCAACCUUUCUCAACCCUGUGAAGACACAGAUGUGCCAGAAAUGCUGAAUGGAUUGGAAAAGGCAGAGCAGGCACCAGCCAGCCUGCAGUGGUUUUUGACCACUUCUAAACAGAUUGGUGUCAGUAACCAAAGACCUGCAAUUUACAGAGCAAAGGGUAGGGCGGAAUGAUUCAAUGAGAACAGAGGUUAAAUGAAUGUAUCUGUUGUCACUGAAUGGAGCUGCUAGAAAAUUCAUGACUGCCAGAAAGCUUCCUGCUUCCAGAAGGGAAGGAACAGACAUUUCAACAAUCAGCUUCUGGCUCUUGGUCUCAG